GAUGAACGCUGGCGGCGUGCCUAACACAUGCAAGUCGAGCGAACAGACGAGGAGUUUGCUCCUCACUCGAUUGCGGCGGGCGGGUGAGUAACACGUGGAUACCCUAUCUAUAAGACUGGGAUAACUUCGGGAAACCGGAGCUAAUCCCGGAUAAAAUGCUUAACGGCAUGGUUCAACAGUGAAAUAUGGUCUUGAUGUCACCUCUCGGUCGAUCAGCGUCUCAUUAGGUUGUUGGUAAGGUAACGGGUUACCGAGGGACCGGUGCGUAGCCGUGCGUAGAGGGUGAUCGGCCACACGGGAGCGGAGAGACGCACCAGGACCCGAAGAGAGGCAGCAGUAGGGAGUGUGGCGCAAGGGGCGAAAGCCUGACGAAGCGACGCCGCGUGAGGGAGGGAGGUCUUCGGGGCGUAAAACGCUGUUAUGAUGGAAGAACAAAUGUGUAAGUAACUAUGCACGUCUGAAGGGUACCGAAGCAGAAGGCCACGGCUAACUAGUG
Molecule: ribosomal RNA, 496 nt
Filed under: uncultured bacterium
Lineage: Bacteria
Description: partial 16S ribosomal RNA
Rfam family: Bacterial small subunit ribosomal RNA
Source: RNAcentral